Ruditapes philippinarum (Manila clam) is the source of this 1921-nucleotide long non-coding RNA. RefSeq lists it as uncharacterized. The transcript is spliced from 3 exons. NCBI's taxonomy places the organism in Eukaryota, Metazoa, Mollusca, Bivalvia, Venerida, Veneridae. The record is from RefSeq and is a predicted model, not a curated record.
UGUGAUUGAAGUUGUCGUCAUAGAUAAAUAUUAAAAUGCAUUUAUUAUUAUUAGCCCUUUGCCUUUGGUAGUAUCUACAAUAAAUCAUAUUAUAUUCACAUUACUCAUACCACACAGCAUAUUCUACCAACAGGGCUUCCAUUAAGUUCCAAACAUUGGCAGUCAAAGACUGCAAAAUGUCUGUAAUUGGAAGUCACUUUGUAGGUAAAGAAGGAAAAGCAUUACAUUUUGGAAGCCAAAAUCAAGAUGUAAAUGACUCCCAAACUUAAAUAACAGAAGCCCUGCUACCAAAAUAUUUUUAAAUUAUGAGCCAGCACUUUUUGCUGAUGAAAUAUUUUGUGUUGUUGUUUUAGGUCUGACAGCCAACAUACAUUUAAGAUCUUCAACUUAGUUCAUCAGAGUUUGAAGUAGAUAAUAUGAUUAUCCAGCAUGUUGCAGCCAUAUUAUUCAAGGAAAUGUACUGAAGACAUAGACAGUUCGAUCACCUAUUUGCUGAUGAAUAUACUAAACUAUUGUUUGAAAUGAGGCACAAUGUGUGACAUAGUUCGAUGCCCUAUUGAGCAGCAGGGUUAUGGAGUUAAAAAGAUCAACUGUACUGUAUUGGUCAAGAUAAAAAAAAAACACUUCAAUUGGGAUGGCAUGUGAGAAGUCAGUGACUUGUCUAUGUCUGCAGUAUACCAAAAGUGAAAUACAUUCUCAUAGAAUUUGUCUUUAGAAGUAUCCCUGAAAAAGCUGAAUACUGCAGUUGCAGGUGUUACUGUAUUUUUACUUAAUUGUGAAACAAGUUUUUGCAAGUUUUAUAUAUGAAUCACUUUUUGCUUACAAAAACUGAAGGCAUUUGAGGAGACAUAGUUGCUAUUACCCUGUUUGGGUCAAACCCUCAACAUGGUGUUGCAAGACUAUAAGUCAAGUACAUAAAGGAGCUGUCAUUUGUGACUUCCCAUGUGAUUGCAAGAAUCUGCUAUUGUAAUUGUUUUAAAUUCAUUGAAAUUAUAUCAUUUUAAAAAUAUACUAAUAUGUUAUUCAUAUUAUACAAUUUAAAAUACACUGAUCAGAAUAUGAUUACACUGUCAAUAUCUGUAACUGAAAAUUAAGUCAAGAACAGAACUAGUGCAAGCUCUUUCUAUUUUUUUUUGGUUACAUUUCUGAAAGACUUUUGAAGUUAUUGUGAAAUGGAAUAUUUUUUUUAUAAAAUGCAAUUAUUUUUAAUAAUUCAGUUAUUUUUGCCUUUUUUGUUACCAUGGCAACCAAAAUACACCAUUUUUGCAAUCAGUGCAUUAAACAAUAUUUGUUUUGCAUUGGAUACAAAUUUUAUUGGAUUCAUAUUUUAUAUGCUAUCAUGUUAUAGAUGUGCAUUUUAAAGUUGACUAACUUAAUUUAUGAUAUUCUUCUUAAUCAUGGAAAAGUUACUGAAAUUCUGAGAAUUUAAUUCUUAUGUUUAAAGCUAUUAAGGGAAAAAAGAAAAAUCCUUUUUUUUUUGGAAAAGUCUUUAAUAUUGUUGUCUUUUAAUAUAAUAUAUGCAUUAAUUUGGUGAUGAACUAAUCAUGUUAAGUGCAAAAUAUUGCAUUUGAUAAUUUUUUUUGUUGCCAUGGCAACCGAUUUUUAAAACAAGCGAUAGUUUUUAUAUUAAGAUAUUACAUAUAUUACACUAAGAUGAAUGAUCACUUUAUUUUUUUUUAUUUUAUUGUGUAUAACUAUGGAAUUAUUUCUAAUUUGUAUAUACCAAUAAAAGUUAAAAAUGUAUUUUUUGUUGUUAUGGUGAUGUCAUACAAAUUAGAAUAUUUCAUUAAAUAUCAAGUAUUUUUUAAAAAUAAUUGUUUCAAGCUAUUCAGCAGAUGUUGGUGUACCACAAACUAGUCAUAACUCAUUUUCGCCAAAAUAUCACAUUUGGGCCAAAAAUCGCUGAGCUUGUCACAUAUUU